RNAcentral lists this ribosomal RNA (245 nucleotides) under uncultured bacterium. Its description in RNAcentral is "partial 16S ribosomal RNA". It matches the Rfam family "Bacterial small subunit ribosomal RNA", at positions 524 to 768 of the family's 1533-position model. The record is from RNAcentral.
GACAGAGGAGGCGAGCGUUGUUCGGAAUCACUGGGCUUAAAGCGCGUGUAGGCGGCUCGGAAAGCGUCGUGUGAAAUCCCGUGGCUCAACCACGGAACUGCACGGCGAACUCCCGGGCUUGAGGCUGGUAGAGGUGCCUGGAACUCUAGGUGGAGCGGUGAAAUGCGUAGAUAUCUAGAGGAACGCCGGAGGCGAAAGCGGGGCACUGGGCCGGUUCUGACGCUGAGACGCGAAAGCGUGGGGAG